GCCCUUAUAGCUCAGUGGCAGAGCGCAUCACUUGUACACUGCUCUUUCGCCUGGAAGAUGCAAACGGAUGUCAUGAUGAGGUCGGUAGUUCAAUCCUGCCUGGGGGCA
Non-coding RNA from Meira miltonrushii, 108 nucleotides. NCBI's taxonomy places the organism in Eukaryota, Fungi, Basidiomycota, Exobasidiomycetes, Exobasidiales, Brachybasidiaceae. The record is from the annotation of a RefSeq genome assembly.